Molecule: unclassified non-coding RNA, 2010 nt
Filed under: uncultured fungus
Lineage: Eukaryota; Fungi
Description: sequence contains 18S rRNA gene, ITS1, 5.8S rRNA gene, ITS2, 28S rRNA gene
Rfam family: Eukaryotic large subunit ribosomal RNA (bases 869-2010)
Source: RNAcentral
GGAAGGAUCAUUAACACGUAUCCACGUAUCUACCUCUCGUGAACUCAUUUUGUUAUGUAGUUAUGCUCAAAUAUGACUAAGGAAGCAGAUGACCAUGUCGUAGAUUUUUUUAAAACGAAAAUCUCGUUCUGCUUGCCUGUCCACCUUUUGUUGAGUGCUAGUGUAUGCUAGUAUAUUUACUCCUUAGGAUGGGUAUUUGAGAAAACUCGAAUCAUGGUGGUUAUCAACUUAUUAACCCCUUUUUUUUAAAAUUGUCUUAGUGAGUGUGUUUUUCUCUUCAUUGUAGAAAAGCUAUCUCCAAAAAAAAUUAACACUAUACAACUCUUAGCAACGGAUAUCUCGGUUCUCCUAUCGAUGAAGAACGCAGCGAAAUGCGAUACGUAAUGCGAAUUGCAGAAUUCAGUGAAUCAUCGAAUCUUUGAACGCAAAUUGCACUCUGGGGUAGCCCCCAGAGUACUCUUCUUUCAGUACCGGUUCCACACAAACUCAGCUGCGUGCUUUUUGAAAAAGAAGCUCGUAUUGCUGGAUAAUGAGAGUCAAAUUUGUUUUUGUUUGUCUCUUUAAGUACUUUAUGCUUGCAACACCUGUAAUGCCGAAAGGAUGCUCUCUACACCAACCCCUCUGGGUGACGAAAGUAUGGCUUCCAAUAGCAAAACAGCGUCGCUGUCCUCUGAUAAUCAGGUUUCCUUUUUGGAUUCUAAAAUUUCUUAAGGACUUGGCGAAAUUCGCUGGGAUUGGCCAGAAAAAGUGUAACCAGAGAUUGGAUUGCAUCGGCCGAGUAACGCACUACUAGGUUGUUCGGAGCUAUUUCUUUAAGACUUUUUUUAAAAAAGGAAGUAAAAUUCUUUUUUUUAAAAUCUUAUGAAUUUGGUCUGAAAUGAAGUGAGAAUACCCGCCGAAUUUAAGCAUAUUAUUAAGCGGAGGAAAAGAAACUAACAAGGAUUCCCCUAGUAACGGCGAGUGAAGCGGGAAAAGCUCAACCUGAAAAUCGGUGUACCUAGCGGUGCUCCGAAUUGUGGGGUAGUGACGCAGCGCCAGCGUGUGACCUGGGUAUAAAUCUUUUGAAACAAGGUAUCAGAGAGGGUGAGAAUCCCGUCUUUGACCCGGAGUUUGCCGCGUACGGCCUGUGUUCUAAGAGUCGGAUAGCUUGGGAGUGCUGUCCUAAAUGGGUGGUAAAUUUCAUCUAAAGCUAAAUAUGGAGGAGAGACCGAUAGCGAACAAGUACCGUGAGGGAAAGAUGAAAAGAACUUUGAAAAGAGAGUUAAAAAGUACUUGAAAUUGCUAAGAGGUAAGCACUGGAAACCAGUCAUGCCUAAGGUUAUUUGCCUUCUCGCUGGUGUCACCGAGUGUUGCUAGGACCUUACGGCCUGGUAAUGCCUGGUUGAUAUCAGGGGGUUGGAACUGUAGCUUUGGGUGAGUCAACAUCAGUUAGUCUCGCGGGAGAAUGUUAUCUGGGAGGUGAUCCCUCUAGCAAUAGAGGGAAACUAACAUACCAGGUAAUAACUACCGUGGGAUUGACUGAGGAAACGAUAACGCGCCCCGCAAGGGAGCGGUCCCUAGUUCCUGUUCUUGUAGUUGGUCCGGAAAACAAAGUUUUGCGAAUUGGCUAUCUUGAAUACUGAAUUGGGUCGUAUCAGCUGCGUGUUCGCGAUGUUGACGAAAUGGUUUUCAUUGACCCGUCUUGAAACACGGACCAAGGAGUCUAACGUAUAUGCGAGUAUUUGGGUGCGUAAAACCCUGAUGCGCAAUGAAAGUGAAGCAGGUCUUAUGACUUGUGAGGUAGGAACCCUGGGCUUGCCCGGGAGGCACUAUCGACCGAUCAAUCAUUUAUGAGAGAUUUGAGUAAGAGCAUAUCUGUUGGGACCCGAAAGAUGGUGAACUAUGCCUGAUCAGGGCGAAGCCAGGGGAAACUCUGGUGGAGGCUCGUAGCGAUACUGACGUGCAAAUCGUUCGUCUGAAUUGGGUAUAGGGGCGAAAGACUAAUCGAACCAUCUAGUAGCUGGUUCCCUC